RNAcentral lists this ribosomal RNA (406 nucleotides) under uncultured bacterium. RNAcentral's name for it is "partial 16S ribosomal RNA". It matches the Rfam family "Bacterial small subunit ribosomal RNA", at positions 30 to 526 of the family's 1533-position model. The record is from RNAcentral.
AUCGAACGCUGGCGGCAUGCCUAACACAUGCAAGUCGAACGAGUGGAGGACGGGUGAGUAAUGUCUGGGAAACUGCCUGAUGGAGGGGGAUAACUACUGGAAACGGUAGCUAAUACCGCAUACCAUCGGAUGUGCCCAGAUGGGAUUAGCUAGUAGGUGGGGUAAAGGCUCACCUUGGCGACGAUCCCUAGCUGGUCUGAGAGGAUGACGGGCCAAAUGGGAACUGAGACACGGUCAAGAUUCCUACGGGCGGCGGCAGUGGGAAUUAUUGGACAAUGGGCGAAAGCUGGAUGCAGCCAUGCCGCGUGUAGGAAGAAGGCCUUCGGGUUGUAAAGUACUUUCUGCGGGGAGGCGUUACCCGCAGAAGAAGCACCGGCUAACUCCGUGCCAGCAGCCGCGGUAAUAC